This is a small nuclear RNA of Ochotona princeps (American pika), 96 nucleotides long. The record is from Ensembl. Lineage: Eukaryota; Metazoa; Chordata; Mammalia; Lagomorpha; Ochotonidae.
GUGCUUACUUCAGCAACACAUAUACUAAAAUUGGAACCAUACAAAGAACAUUAACAUGGUCCUUGUGCAAGGAUGACACACUUGGACUGCUUCUGU